GACGUAAGGCGCGGGCGUUGUCCGGAUUUAUUGGGCGUAAAGAGCUCGUAGGUGGUUUGUCGCGUUGUUCGUGAAAACUCACGGCUCAACUGUGAGCGUGCGGGCGAUACGGGCAGACUAGAGUACUGCAGGGGAGACUGGAAUUCCUGGUGUAGCGGUGGAAUGCGCAGAUAUCAGGAGGAACACCGGUGGCGAAGGCGGGUCUCUGGGCAGUAACUGACGCUGAGGAGCGAAAGCGUGGGGAGCGAACAGG
Molecule: ribosomal RNA, 253 nt
Filed under: uncultured bacterium
Lineage: Bacteria
Description: partial 16S ribosomal RNA
Rfam family: Bacterial small subunit ribosomal RNA
Source: RNAcentral